RNAcentral lists this ribosomal RNA (494 nucleotides) under uncultured bacterium. RNAcentral's name for it is "partial 16S ribosomal RNA". It matches the Rfam family "Bacterial small subunit ribosomal RNA", at positions 28 to 507 of the family's 1533-position model. The record is from RNAcentral.
GACGAACGCUGGCGGCGUGCUUAACACAUGCAAGUCGAACGGAAAGGCCUGCUUUCCCUUGUGGAUUGCGGGUACUCGAGUGGCGAACGGGUUAGUAACACGUGAGUGAUCUGCCCCCUACUUGUGUAUAAGCCUGGGAAACUGGGUCUAAUUCUCGAUAGGACUGCAGUGUGCUGCCUGUGGUUGAAAUCGAUUUUCUAGUGGUUGCGUAUGAGCUCGCGGCCUAUUAGCUUGUCUGUGGGGUAAUGGCGUACCAAGGCGGCGACGGGUAGCCCGCCUGAGAGGGUGGACGGCCACAGUGGGAAUGAGAUACGGCACAGAGUCCUACAGGAGGCAGAAGUGGGGAAUAUAGCACGAAGGGGGGAAGACUGAUGCAGCGACGCCGCGUGGGGGAUGAAGGCCUUCGGGUUGUAAACUCCUUUCGACCGCGAGGAAGCCACCUGGUUGGAAGGGUGGUGACGGUAGUGGUAGAAGAAGCACCGGCUAACUACGUG